Molecule: long non-coding RNA, 1735 nt
Filed under: Rattus norvegicus (Norway rat)
Lineage: Eukaryota; Metazoa; Chordata; Mammalia; Rodentia; Muridae
Description: long non-coding RNA NONRATT007224
Source: RNAcentral
UUUUCCUCCCUCUUCACUUUUUCCUCUAUAGACCUUUUGUCCCACCCUUUGGCUGUGGGUGGCUUAGCCAUAGAAUUACCUCACUGUGGGACACCUUCACUUUGGAGGAACUUGUGGAAUGCUAUAUGGCUGCACAUCACUUUGUGACAAGCAGGGCUGGUAUGGUACUGCAUUGACCCUUGUCCCCUUAGCUAUGUGCUCUGGAGGAGGCAUGCAUGCCAGCUAUUGUACCUUUCCUGCCUGGCUGAGGUAGCUCAGGAUCACAUUGGGAGCCUGAAGAUGCUGACACACUCUCAAGUUCAGGCUCACUGCAGGUUUCCCAGGUACCUGCACCUGGCAUGUCACAGGGGCUCUGGGUGUGGCCUAUAGCCUGAAGUAAACACUUACUUCCAGCAACCUGUGCCAAAAACAACUAGGUUUCCUCACACCAUUGUGCUCUUUGCUUUGAAUGGGCAGCAGGCUGAGAAAUAGUAUUUACUUAGCAGGAACUCCAAUCUCAAUUUGCAAGUUAUCAGUAGUCCCUGAAGGGCUUGUUGAAUUUCCAACAACAGUUUUCCUAGAGUCUCCCUCUGCUUCUUUGGCAUAGUUGGGCCAAAGUGGACCAUGCAGAAAGUGUCACUUUGCAGCCAGGGACUUUGUAAUAUCAGCCCCUUUCCCUAGCCAUGAACGCAGGAUGAUUUCAUUCUUUUCCCUUGAUCUUCCCUGCUGUUCUCAGCCACUGUAGUAAAUAACACCACAGUGUAAGCAGGAAGGAUAUGGCAGGACUGGCUCCCUUUCCUAGCUCCCUUACCAAUAAAGUCAUCUAAAGAGACUUGAUGUUCAAAAAACUGAGGGCAGGACCAUGGCACUGUGAUAGAGUGCAUCAUACCAUGAGUAAGGUCCCAGCUCCCAACUGAAGCACUGAAAAAACAAAGUAACAAUACUGUUUGGGGCCAGCAUGGUAUGGUAGCUCAGUAGGUAAAAGUAUUUGCCCCCAAGUCUAAUAAACAUAUUCAAAUUCCAUGGGCACCAUAUGAUAGGAGAACCUACUCCCUUACAUUACCUUCUGACCUCUAUACCUUCACUGUGGCAGGUACAUGCACAAAAACACAUGGUAAAUAAAUAAAUUUAUUUUUGUUCAUCAUUGUCUUAUUUUUCUAUUGCUGUGAUAAAAACAUUGAGAAAGGCACACUGUAAAAGAACUUUGCCUUAUGGUUUCAAAGGAUUAGAGUUUGUAAUGGCAGAGGGAAUGGCUGUCUGGGAGCUCACAUUGUGAUCCACAAGCACUAGGCAGAGAGAGACCCUGCCCCUGCUGAGAUAACUCUUCCUAAUAAAGCCACACUUCCUAAUCCAUCCCAAAUAGUCCCACCAUCCGGGGACUAAGUGUUUAAAGAUACAUACCUGUGGAGGAUAUUCUUAUUCAAACAACUACAAUUAUUUUUAAAUAUAUUUUUAUUUUAUAUGUAUGAGUGUUAUACCUGCUUGUAUGGAUAUGCAUACCAUGUACAUACACUGCCUGAAUAAAUUAAAAAAAAAAAAACAGAUGUGAUAGUAUAAGCUUUGAAUCCCAACAGUAGAGGCAGAGGCAAGUGGACCUCAGUGAGCUUGAAGCUGUAGAGGGCUACAUGGUAGAACCCUGCCUUUUAAAAAAGAAAAGGAUGGGGGUUGGGGAUUUAUCUCAGUGGUAGAGCGCUUGCCUAGCAAGCACAAGGCCCUGGGUUCGGUCCCCAGCUCUGAAAAGAAAAAAAAAAAAAAA